RNAcentral lists this ribosomal RNA (317 nucleotides) under uncultured fungus. RNAcentral describes it as "eukaryotic LSU rRNA". The record is from RNAcentral. Lineage: Eukaryota; Fungi.
AACGCACCUUGCGCUCCCCGGUACUCUGGGGAGCAUGCCCGUUUGAGUGUCGUGUGCCUCUUCACCGGAACCGCUGUGACUCGUUCACUUUGGUUCGCAGGUGGCGGUGGGAUCGUUGGCCCCCUCGGGGUCGACCUUCCUCAAAUCGAUCAGCGAUGCCCGGUCCCGAAACCUUUGGUAUACGUGGGUGUUAACUUUUACUGCCUGCGCCAAUCGGUCGAGGGACUCUUGUGGAGUCUUCGCUUUCUAACCGUCCUCCUCGGACAACACACUCUCGCUCUGACCUCAAAUCGGGUAGGGUUACCCGCUGAAUUUAA